AACGCACCUUGCGCUCCUUGGUAUUCCUUGGAGCAUGCCUGUUUGAGUGUCGUGAAUUUCUCCAACUUGAGCUUUUGUUCAACGCGGGUCCAUGGGUUUGCAACUUGCGUUGCUCACCUUAAAUACAGUACGCUGGACAACCAGUGAGUUGCUAAUUUCAUUGCUAACUUGCGUAAAUGUUGUCUGCUGCUAAUCACGGCGUGGGGGUUACAACCCACCCAAGUGUUCGCACACCUCACUUCUGACCUCAAACCAGGUAGGACUACCCGCUGAACUUAA
Molecule: unclassified non-coding RNA, 279 nt
Filed under: uncultured Exobasidium
Lineage: Eukaryota; Fungi; Basidiomycota; Exobasidiomycetes; Exobasidiales; Exobasidiaceae
Description: partial contains 5.8S ribosomal RNA, internal transcribed spacer 2, and large subunit ribosomal RNA
Source: RNAcentral